RNAcentral lists this ribosomal RNA (1509 nucleotides) under uncultured bacterium. RNAcentral's name for it is "partial 16S ribosomal RNA". It matches the Rfam family "Bacterial small subunit ribosomal RNA". The record is from RNAcentral.
AGAGUUUGAUCCUGGCUCAGAUUGAACGCUGGCGGAAUGCUUUACACAUGCAAGUCGAACGGCAGCACGGGGGCAACCCUGGUGGCGAGUGGCGAACGGGUGAGUAACACAUCGGAACGCGUCCUGUAAUGGGGGAUAACCUGGCGAAAGUCAGGCUAAUACCGCAUACGUCCUGAGGGAGAAAGCGGGGGAUUGGCAACGACCUCGCGUUAUAGGAGCGGCCGAUGUCGGAUUAGCUAGUUGGUGGGGUAAAGGCCUACCAAGGCGACGAUCCGUAGCGGGUCUGAGAGGACGGCCCGCCACACUGGGACUGAGACACGGCCCAGACUCCUACGGGAGGCAGCAGUGGGGAAUAUUGGACAAUGGGCGCAAGCCUGAUCCAGCAAUGCCGCGUGUGUGAAGAAGGCCUUCGGGUUGUAAAGCACUUUUAUCGGGAGCGAAAAGCGGGCGGUGAAUACCCGUCCGUGCUGACGGUACCCGAGGAAUAAGCACCGGCUAACUCUGUGCCAGCAGCCGCGGUAAUACAGAGGGUGCGAGCGUUAAUCGGAAUUACUAGGGCGUAAAGCGCACGUUGGCGUCUAUGGCACGUCGGGUGUGCCAAAUCCACCUGCCUCAACACUGGGAAGUGACAUCCGAAACUGGCGUGUUAGAGUAUGGGAGAGAGAAAGUCGAAUAUCCGGUGWAGCGGUGAAAUGCGUAGAUAUCGGAAGGAACAUCAGCGGCGAAGGGCGACUUCCUGGACCAAUACUGACGCUCAGGUGCGAAAGCGUGGCGGAGCAAACAGGAUUAGAUACCCUGGGUAGUGCACUCCAUAAACGAUGACAAUUGGAUGUCGGGAGGGUUUGCCUUCCGGUGUAGUAGCUAACGCGUUAAGUUGUCCGCCUGGGAAGUACGGCCGCAAGGUUGAAACUCAAAGGAAUUGACGGGGCCCCGCACAAGCGGUGGAGCAUGUGGUUUAAUUCGAUGCAACGCGAAGACCCUUACCUGGUCUUGACAUCCUGGGAAUCCUGCAGAGAUGCGGGAGUGCCUUCGGGAACCUGGAGACAGGUGGUGCAUGGCUGUUGUCAGCUCGUGUCGUGAGAUGUUGGGUUAAGUCCCGCAACGAGCGCAACCCUUGUCGUUAAUUGCCAUCAUUUAGUUGGUCACUUUAACGAGACUGCCGGUGACAAACCGGAGGAAGGUGGGGAUGACGUCAAGUCCUCAUGGCCCUUAUGGGUAGGGCUUCACACGUCAUACAAUGGUCGGUACAAAGGGUCGCCAACCCGCGAGGGGGAGCCAAUCCCAUAAAGCCGAUUGUAGUCCGGAUUGUAGGCUGCAACUCGCCUGCAUGAAGUCGGAAUCGCUAGUAAUCGUGGAUCAGCAUGUCACGGUGAAUACGUUCCCGGGUCUUGUACACACCGCCCGUCACACCAUGGGAGCGGGUUCCGCCAGAAGUAGGUAGCCUAACCGCAAGGGGGGCGCUUACCACGGCGGGGUUCGUGAGGGGGGUGAAGUCGUAACAAGGUAACC